Molecule: transfer RNA, 103 nt
Organism: Xylona heveae TC161
Lineage: Eukaryota; Fungi; Ascomycota; Xylonomycetes; Xylonales; Xylonaceae
Rfam family: tRNA
About the family: Transfer RNA (tRNA) molecules are approximately 80 nucleotides in length. Their secondary structure includes four short double-helical elements and three loops (D, anti-codon, and T loops). Further hydrogen bonds mediate the characteristic L-shaped molecular structure. tRNAs have two regions of fundamental functional importance: the anti-codon, which is responsible for specific mRNA codon recognition, and the 3' end, to which the tRNAs corresponding amino acid is attached (by aminoacyl-tRNA synthetases). tRNAs cope with the degeneracy of the genetic code in two manners: having more than one tRNA (with a specific anti-codon) for a particular amino acid; and 'wobble' base-pairing, i.e. permitting non-standard base-pairing at the 3rd anti-codon position.
Source: Rfam
GUCGCGAUGCCAGAGUGGUUAAUGGGUCAGACUUGAAUGCCGUAUUUGAGCGUUUGGAUAUCUGAUGGCUUCGGCCUCGCAAGUUCGAAUCUUGUUCGCGACG